UACAGAGGUCCCAAGCGUUGUUCGGAUUCACUGGGCGUAAAGGGUGCGUAGGCGGUCGGGUAAGUCUGACGUGAAAUCUUCAAGCUCAACUUGGAAACUGCAUUCGAUACUGGCGUGCUUGAGGACUGGAGAGGAGACUGGAAUUCAUGGUGUAGCAGUGAAAUGCGUAGAGAUCAUGAGGAAGACCAGUGGCGAAGGCGGGUCUCUGGACAGUUCCUGACACUGAGACACGAAGGCCAGGGGAGCAAACGGG
RNAcentral lists this ribosomal RNA (253 nucleotides) under uncultured bacterium. Its description in RNAcentral is "partial 16S ribosomal RNA". It matches the Rfam family "Bacterial small subunit ribosomal RNA", at positions 524 to 776 of the family's 1533-position model. The record is from RNAcentral.